GAUGAAGAACGUAGCGAAAUGCGAUAAGUAAUGUGAAUCGCAGAAUUCAGUGAAUCAUCGAAUCUUUGAACGCACAUUGCGCCCGCCAGUAUUCUGGCGGGCAUGCCUGUCUGAGCGUCAUUUCAACCCUCAUGCCCCUAGGGCGUGGUGUUGGGGAUCGGCCAAAGCCCGCGAGGGACGGCCGGCCCCUAAAUCUAGUGGCGGACCCGUCGUGGCCUCCUCUGCGAAGUAGUGAUAUUCCGCAUCGGAGAGCGAUGAGCCCCUGCCGUUAAACCCCCAACUUUCCAAGGUUGACCUCAGAUCAGGUAGGAAUACCCGCUGAACUUAAGCAUAUCAAUAAGCGGAGGA
Molecule: unclassified non-coding RNA, 348 nt
Filed under: soil metagenome
Description: partial contains 5.8S ribosomal RNA, internal transcribed spacer 2, and large subunit ribosomal RNA
Rfam family: 5.8S ribosomal RNA (bases 1-120)
Source: RNAcentral